AGGCGAGGAAAGCAAAAUUGUUCAUAAUUAAGUCCCAAGAACUGAAUAAACAUACAUAGCAUGAACGUGUGAUAUACAAGUAAACAACAACAAACAGAUUUCCAUAUGCAUAAAGAGCCAUCUGAAUACAACAUACACGACAAGAAAAUAAUCUUAGCUGGCGAGGCAAACAUACAAUAGCCAAUGGGGUACAACAGGUGAUGAACACUAGCAGGGUAGAACAUGGAGAUCAUUGUGGGGCAAGAAACCUUAUAAUGGGGGCAACAGCCAAUAGGUUACCAUGUUGUUUUAUUCUACGGCCAAGGUUUCCGUGUCAGAUAUAGGUUCACCAUUCAAAGGCCACUGUACAAGCUCGUCAAGAUGAACAUGGAGAUCAUUGUGGGGCAAGAAACCUUAUAAUGGAGGCAACAGCCAAUAGGUUACCCGUUACCAUGUUGUUUUAUUCUUCGGCCAAGGUUUCCGUGUCAGAUAUAGGUUCACCAUUCAAAAGCCACUGUUCAAGUUCAUCAAGAUCGUCAUCAUCAUGCCGAUACCAAUCGGAGGAUCUGUCC
This 551-nucleotide long non-coding RNA is filed under the name Oryza brachyantha (malo sina). RNAcentral's name for it is "long non-coding RNA (OBRA_LNC000681)". The record is from RNAcentral. Lineage: Eukaryota; Viridiplantae; Streptophyta; Magnoliopsida; Poales; Poaceae.